UGGCGAUAAGAACCUGCGUGUUCUCUUAC
RNAcentral lists this non-coding RNA (29 nucleotides) under Rattus norvegicus (Norway rat). Lineage: Eukaryota; Metazoa; Chordata; Mammalia; Rodentia; Muridae. The record is from RNAcentral.